ACAAUGUAUUUAUAGUGUAUAGUUGGUAUACAAUUGGGCAAUGAUGAUAAAACCUACAUUUGAGCUUUUCCCGAGCCCAAUACCGAGAGUCAUAUCUGAGCCCAGAUAUGUGACGCAUCUGUGACCCGUCCAUUCUUUAUUAUAAUGGGUCAAUGACCCGACCCACGUGUGUAAAUAUAAAUACAGGGGUCACCGACUUAUGUGACCCCCGGACUUCAUUUCUUUAUUUUGUUUUCUCUGUUAAUGUGAUAUUUUCUCUCUGGUAUUCCAGAGUCUUCUCACCUACUCUCCUCCUUCUCUCUACUUUCUCUCUCUAUAAUCUGUAUGAUUCUCUCGUAUAAUCUUGAUAUUAACAU
Molecule: long non-coding RNA, 356 nt
Filed under: Nicotiana benthamiana
Lineage: Eukaryota; Viridiplantae; Streptophyta; Magnoliopsida; Solanales; Solanaceae
Description: long non-coding RNA (NBEN_LNC036245)
Source: RNAcentral